Molecule: long non-coding RNA, 1032 nt
Filed under: Callithrix jacchus (white-tufted-ear marmoset)
Lineage: Eukaryota; Metazoa; Chordata; Mammalia; Primates; Cebidae
Description: lncRNA (ENSCJAG00000063011.2)
Source: RNAcentral
AAGGUCUGGAGAGGCACGGGGGCAGGGUGGAGGUCGUCGAAGGCGGGGGCUGCAAGCAGCAGCCGCUCUAGCGCUGGAGCCAGGUGGUACCGGCCCAGGGUGGCUGAGCCUCUGGCCUCUGCGCCCCGGCAGGGCACCUCCUCUCCCUCCCGGCUACUAUCAGUGCCAGGACCCAGCUGGAAGCCCGCGAGCUUCAAGCCGAGUGGUGACUGCAGGAUCAGAACGGCCACUGGCUCUGUGCACCCUCCCUUUGCAGGCCCGAUUAUCCGCCUCGUUGCCUGCGCCUCGAUUCAAACCCGGGGCUUCACUGCGCGGCCCUCCAGUGCUGGAAUUCGUGAGGAGCCCUCGGGAGCAAAGUGCGGACUCAGGCCUGCCCCCCGUCGGAGGGGCGGGCGUUCGUCUGCGGUCGCAGUGAAAGCGGGGCUGUGCUGCGCUCGGCAGCCGGUGUGCGUGGAGCGGGGGCGGCGCCGAGGCCGGGAGGAGGCAGGGCCACGGGCGCCAAGGCCUGCGCCUGGGAAGUCGCUGCAGGGGCCUCGCCCGCACCCGCGAAGGGUCCUGCGCUCUCCUGGGCGCCGUCCCCACAGCGGGAGCCCAAUCCCCCGGCCUGGAGUGGACGUCCUGCCCGCGCUGCUCCCGCCGCCUCCGCUGAGGCCCGGCCUGGACGCGCGGGCGGGACGCUCCUCGGGGAGCGCUUUCCUUCCUCACAUCGCUCUUUUCGCGUCCCGAGUCCCCGGGACCCCGCUGGCCGCCUCCUUCCCAGAGAGCGCAGGGCCGCGCCAGUCCUGCCCGCCCCCAGGGGCCGCAGCUUCCAGAGGGCGCUUCCGGGCAGGAGGGCGGGCUUGUGCUUUGCUAGCGGCCGCAACGCGCGCGGAGCCCGCGUCCCGGCGUCUGGGAGCAGAGGUCGCCAGGGCUUGUGCGUCCGAUGCGGACACGGGGACGGCUGCGCCCCGGGACUGCAGUCCUUAUCACGAGCCUGAAGGCCGCGCCCGCCCACUGGCGGCCGCGCUGGCGCCCAACAGUCAGAGGCGGUGA